GCGGUUGGCCUGCAGGUCCAGCAGCCGCAGCUGGGGGGCGUCCCUGAGCGCCGCCCAGGGGAAGGCGGCCAGGCGGUUCCCGGGCAGCCGCAGCUCCCGCAGGCGUCGCAGGCCCCGCAGCAUGAGGGCGUUGAGCUCGCUGAGGGAGUUGUAAGGCAGCCACAGCUGCUCCAGGCGGCGCAGGGGCCUGAAGGCCUCGCCAGGAACCCUGCGUAUGGCCGUCCGCUCCAGGCGCAGUCUGGAGAGGUCUUGCUCUCAGAGCCUUUCACAAUGGUCCCAGGAAGGUGAUUUGGUCUUCACGGUCCUGCAAGACCCCACCCUUACACUGUUACGACCCAUAACAGCCCGCAGCACCCACAGUGCACUAAGAAUGAACAGCAUUAAUAAACCCCAUGAUCGCGUUGUGCACUGUUGCUUUGCAAA
This is a long non-coding RNA of Gorilla gorilla gorilla (western lowland gorilla), 423 nucleotides long. RefSeq lists it as uncharacterized. The transcript is spliced from 2 exons. The record is from RefSeq and is a predicted model, not a curated record. Lineage: Eukaryota; Metazoa; Chordata; Mammalia; Primates; Hominidae.